UGUCUUGUCUUUGAGAGUUGCCAAGAGCCCUGAGUGUGCUUUAUGUGAUUUGUUCAGAAUCACACAGUGCCCUCGAGAGAUGUCUUCAAGCAAAGGAUGGGAAUGACUUCUUGAGUGUGUUUAUCAGGGGCCGCACAUGCCAGAGACAGAACGCCAUCCGGGCCCUGCUGCCUCUUUAAGGCACAAAACUGCCAGUUACGUCCUUGUCUGGGAGUACAGAAAGAAACAGCACGAGAUCGGGGGAGAUUAUCAGGAACACAAAAACAUUUCACAAAACCACAGAAUCAAAGACUGCAUGAGACCUCACCAGCCAUCAAAUUCAGCUUCUGCCUGACCAAGAAUCCCUGCUGCAACGUACCAGUAUGGAAUCUGCCAGGCUUUUCUGGAGGACAGCUAUCGAGGGCAAUCUCACCAGCAGCCUGAGAUAGCCAGUUCCCCCUCUGGGCAGCUUUAGCUGCUGGAAAGGUUUUUCUGGAAUCAGAACUGAAAUUUGCCUCAUUGCCAGUCUAACCGCUAUUCCCAGUUUUGCCUUCUUGUACUCAGCAGAGGAAGACUCAUUUCUCUUCCGCAUGACGGUCCUUCAGCUAUACACAUACCUCCCUCAUACGGCUUGUUCUCAAUAGCCUUCACCAUCUUGGUUCUCCUCCUCUGGGCACCCUCCUAGCUUAUCAAUGUGUUCUAUGCAGCCAAACAGAAAAUUUGUACAGGUUUGGGUUCUGGUGCUUCCAUUGACUCUCUGUAUGACCUAGGGCGAGGCGCUUAAACCCUUUGGGCCUCAGUUUCCUCAUUUAUCAAAUGAGGGGGCUGGACUAAAUGCCUUCCAGCUCCAGAUCUAAGAUCUGAUGAUUUUAUGGCUGUCCUUGUUGAAUUUCCCAUAAUUCAAUGCAGCCAACGUUAAAUCCAGUUGAGAUUUCUUUUAUAUCUUGAAUCUGUCAUCUGGUAUAUAAGUUAUCCUUCGUGGCUUUGUGCCAUCGGCAAAUUGGGGUCUGGGGGAUUGUUUGUUUUUCAUUUGUUUUGUUGAUGAC
This 1025-nucleotide long non-coding RNA is filed under the name Phascolarctos cinereus (koala). RNAcentral describes it as "lncRNA (ENSPCIG00000008039.2)". Lineage: Eukaryota; Metazoa; Chordata; Mammalia; Diprotodontia; Phascolarctidae. The record is from RNAcentral.